AUUUUCUGAUGUGGAGUUCCAACUGUUAUUAUUUAAUUUGGGUGCAACAAAUUAGUGUUUAAAUGGUGUGUGGUCAAACUGACAACUGGAGAAACAAAGACGUGAGAAGUCGUUCAGAAAUUUCCUCAAAGAAGUUAACACUAAAUUUGGAUUGGAUCACAAACCAACACUACCACCAUGAUGGGUCUGGAAUGCGAGGGACCACCGCUGACAACCCAAUCUGCAAACAUCGCAUCCAUGGUCCAUAACAAACUGAGCAGGCCACACAAACGCUUCACACCGCAUGGCCGCUGCCACACUAACCUGGUGGUCCCAGCGCGCACGACCCACCCGGAGUUCCAGGUCUCCGGCAGCCUCUGGAACUGCCGGUCUGCAGCCAACAAGGCAGAGUUCAUCUCAGCCUAUGCUACCCUCCAGUCCCUCGACUUCUUGGCGCUGACGGAAACAUGGAUUACCACAGAAAACACUGCUACUCCUACUGCUCUCUCCUCGUCUGACCAUGUGUUCUCGCAUACCCCGAGAGCAUCUGGUCAGAGGGGUGGUGACACUGGAAUCCUCAUCUCUCCCAAGUGGACAUUCUCUCUUUCUCCCCUGACCCAUCUGUCUAUCUCCUCCUUUGAAUUCCAUGCUGUCACAGUCACUAGCCCAUUCAAGCUUAACAUCCUUAUCAUUUAUCGCCCUCCAGGUUCCCUUGGAGAGUUCAUCAAUGAGCUUGACGCCUUGAUAAGUUCCUUUCCUGAGGAUGGCUCACCCCUCACAAUUCUGGGUGACUUUAACCUCCCUACGUCUACCUUUGACUCAUUUCUCUCUGCCUCCUUCUUUCCACUCCUCUCCUCUUUUGACCUCACCCUCUCACCCUCUCACCGUCCCCCCCUACUCACAAGGCAGGCAAUACGCUUGACCUCAUCUUUACUAGAUGCUGUUCUUCUACUAAUCUCACUGCAACUCCCCUCCAAGUCUUCGACCACUACCUUGUAUCCUUUUCCCUCUCGCUCUCCUCCAACACUACUCACUCUGCCCCUACUCAGAUGGUAUUGCGCCGUCGCAACCUUCGCUCUCUCUUUCCUGCUACUCUCUCCUCUUCCAUCCUAUCAUCUCUUCCCUCUGCUCAAUCCUUCUCCAACCAAUCUCCUGAUUCUGCCUCCUCAACCCUCCUCUCCUCCCUUUCUGCAUCCUUUGACUCUCUAUGUCCCCUAUCCUCCCGGCCGGCUCGGUCCUCCCCUCCUGCUCCGUGGCUUGACGACUCAUUGCGAGCUCACAGAACAAGGCUCCGGGCAGCCGAGCGGAAAUGGAGGAAAACUAGCCUCCCUGCGGACCUGGCAUCUUUUCACUCCCUCCUCUCCACAUUUUCUUCCUCUGUUUCUGCUGCAAAAGACACUUUCUACCACUCUAAAUUCCAAGCAUCUGCCUCUAACCCUAGGAAGCUCUUUGCCACCUUCUCCUCCCUCCUGAAC
RNAcentral lists this long non-coding RNA (1454 nucleotides) under Salmo salar (Atlantic salmon). RNAcentral describes it as "lncRNA (ENSSSAG00000074887.2)". Lineage: Eukaryota; Metazoa; Chordata; Actinopteri; Salmoniformes; Salmonidae. The record is from RNAcentral.